Molecule: long non-coding RNA, 5059 nt
Filed under: Sus scrofa (pig)
Lineage: Eukaryota; Metazoa; Chordata; Mammalia; Artiodactyla; Suidae
Description: lncRNA (ENSSSCG00040028479.1)
Source: RNAcentral
UUUUUUUUUUUUUUUAAUUUUUUGCUUUUUAGGGCCACACCCAUGGCACAUGGAAGUUCCCAGGCUAGGGGUCGAAUUGGAGCUAUAAACUGCUGGCCACAGCAAUGCAGGAUCUGAGCACUGUCUGCAACCUACACCACAGCUCACAGCUGGGUCCCUGACCCACUAGGCGAGGCCAGGGAUCAAACCUGCAUCCAUGGAUACUAGUCAGAUUUGUUUCUGCUGUGCCACAACAGGAACUUUAUUUGAUAAACAAACAAACAAACAAAAAACCCAACUGCUCAUUUACCUCUGUGAAAUGAAAAAAAAAAAAAGAAAAAAAAAACUACUUUUGGGGUGUGGCACCCAGAAAGCUCUGAGUGACACUGUAGGAAUCGUGGCCCAGGCUUGGUGAUGUGUCCUCCUGCUGUCCUUCCUACUGCUUUCCCGGGGGAGAGCUGCUAAAUGUUCUCAGCUUAUUGUUGGUAACUGUUCAACAGCCACAAACUUGAUGGCAGAUUCCUCUCCACUUGACCCCAAAGUCAUGGACGGUAUCAUUCUGUCUUCACUUCAACAACCUCGGCACAAUGGUCCUUCCAGGAACUCCUUUCCAGAAAUGAAAUCCCCGUAAUUUCAUUGCAUCAACAUGAUUUCCUACCCACCCCACUGCGUUCUCUUUUUUUGGUUAUUUUUUCUUUUUAGGGGCGCAUGGCAGCAUGUGGAGGUUCCCAGGCUAUGUCGAAUGGGAGCUGCAGGUGCCGGCCUACAGCACAGCCUCUGUGAUGUCAGAUCCGAGCUGCGUCUGUGACCUACACCGCAGCUCAGAGCAACGCCUGAUCCUUAACCCACUGAGCGAGGCCAGGGAUGGAACCUGCGUCCCCAUGGAUCCUAGUCAGGUUCGUUACCACUGAGCCACAGCAGGAACUCCCCUGUACGGUGUUCUUUACUGAGUAAAACCUUCCCACAAUGCUUUUGAGGUUCGGGUGGGUGGCAGUGAAACAAAGCACCAGAGAGUGUGCGAGCAUGCAGUGCACCACGAGCAGCGAUAAAAAGACGCGCGGUCGGGAAUACCAGGAAACACUUGGCCCUGAAAGGGUCACGAGCAGCCAAUGGAUGCUCUGAGGGAGGAGGCCUCUACACCUCGACUCUUAUAACGGAGUUAAUACAAUUCUUCAUUCCUCACCCCAAAGCAAAGACAGACUUGCAAACAAAACAAAGAAGGCGAGAACGGCCAUAAAAGACACCUUUGAUGACCUACCAAAGCCAGUGCCAAAACCAACAUCAAUCAUACGCCGAGUUCCCUACUUCAGCCCUCGUCUGGCAGAGUCUCGCCUGCUAGCGUCCAUAAAAAUGAAGUGUAACACUUUUCCAGAUUCUUAAGUCUCAGAAACGCCUUUUAUUGAGUGUGACUAUGCUGCCUUAUUAGAUAGGGGCUGGUUUAUAUUACAGACACUUGGGGCCUUUGGAGCAGAACUUGUAUUUACUGAAGCAAGGUCUUCCAGUGUGUGCAACAGACCUGCAUGUGCGAAGAAGCUGCCCUCGUCAUCAUUUGACACCAAAUCCUUCAGUCCACCUCGGUAUUAGAAACUAAGUCGCCUGUGUGCUGAUAAACUUGAUCAAUUCAAACAGUUUUAAAAAAAUUAUAUUAUAUGGGAGUUCCCACUGUGGCACAGUGAAACAAAUCCAACGAGGAUCCGUGAGGACACGGGUUCAAUCCCUGGCCUUGUUCAGGGGGUCAGGGAUCAUCCGGCACUGCCGUCUGCUGUGGUGUAUGCUACAGACGCGGCUCGGAUCCCGUGUUGCUGUGGCUGUGGUCUCUGUUUCUGAGUUCAGAUAACCAGUGUGUCUUUAUCCGUGGGCAUCCAAGGGAAAGACGUUUUGACCAUUUUCUCCAAAUAAUCCCUGCCUCAAUGCUGGAUGGCAGAUGGGUGCCCAAGCUGUCUGCUGAGGGCUCGCGCUCCCCAUCAGGGCCCACUUGAUCUGCCUGGACCUAUGGAGGGGUUAAUGCCCCAAAGCGGUUCCCAUCAGUGACCCUAAAGAUGCUCCACCUUCUUCUGUCCUCAGGUGGGAUGGGAGUCUGGGGUACGGCUGUGCUCCCUGCCAGAAUCCCCACCUGUGGGGUCACCUGAGUGCUAGCAAACACCCUAGGGGCCGCCCUCGUUCCCUGGUCUCAGCCCCAGGCUCCUCUCCACCGCUCCUCUGCCCACCCCCCAACAUAAACCUAUGCAUAGGAAUCUGCAUCUCAGGCCUUUCUUCCAGGGAAUGAAGAUCCAAGCAAGAAGUCGUUUUAAAGAAGGUCAUUAUAUACACGUGAAAAAGGAGAUGUCCUCCAGAAGAGAGAGGGAUAUGACAAAUCAGACCCUGAGAAUAUGAGAAUAGAUGUCUUUGUUAGCUACGGCUUUCUGUAACAUAUGACAGAGUUCUGACGAGGAUGAAGAAAAUGAUGUCACAUAUUAUCAGUGUGUGUGUGUGUGUGUGUGUGUGUGUGUGUGUGUGUGUCUCCAAGAUCCACAAUGGUAACAGAGCCAAGACUUAAUCCGAAACUAAGGGGGGAAAAAGUGACACAGGCAGAGGAAAGCAGGAAAUUCUGCAGACAGUGCAGCCGUCAGAUUCUUGCAGACAGAAAGGCAACUUCAUUUCUCAUUACUUUAGAAACUGGAAAAAAAGGAGAGAGGAAAUAGAAACAAACAACAGGGAGUUUUCUAGGAAGGAACCAAGAACAAAGUCUGUUUGGGGACUGAAUUAAUGCCACAAAGACAGAAAACCUGGGAGCUGGAAAACGCAAGUGCUGCCAAUUGGAAAGAGACGGCAGAGACAACUGCUCCCAGAGACAAAAGGUACCCGGCCGUUGAGAUGUGUGUCUUCAGGCUGAGCCAAAGGCGGGGCCCCCAGAUAUGAGGGUCAGAAUGUGCUCAGGGUGGCUCUGCCUUAGGCUUCUGCAGAGAUGGGAGCAAGCGGCAGAUGCAGACUAUCAGCUGGGCUUCUUUUGCGAGCGUACGUCUCCAUCAGCUGAGCUGGAGACCUUUUUUCUCUGUGGCCUGCGAGGUCCAGGGACAAACUGCAAUCUCUGCUAAUCAUGCCUGAGAUGAGAAUGGAAAGGGGUGGGGUCUGUGUCUGCCCCUGCCAACAGGUUCGGGCACAAAGAGAAAGGUCAGCACGUGUCCUCGUCACCAGCAAACAAGGGAGUCACCCACACGUCUUUACGGUGUCCUGAGAAAGCCUGGACAGAGAGUCCAUCUAAGUCACCCGGAGAAGGCCAGUUCUUUGCAGGAAGACAUGUCUCACCACAGAAACCAGAAGGAGAAGUCUGAGCAUACAUAUCCAGUCCAGAGGAGUCCUGGAGGUCAGCAAGGAAAGACGCUCUCAGAGGACCAGCACCACUGCAUACUUCUUGAAAGCCAAGACAUCAAACCUUUUGGCAACGCUGUCAGGCUUGGUUAAAGACAUGCGCGACCCCAACACUUCAGGCGACGUUCUUAGUGGCCCAGCGAAGGGCUUUUCCAGGAACAAUCCUGGCUCAUGCAAAGUCUGCUGCAGGCAUGACUCCGUCAAUGUUUCUAGAACACUCACAGAACUUCCAGAACCGGGAGCAAAGGUCACCUGCCGUGCGACAGAGUCCAAAGAAGGACUAGGGGACUCUAGGUUUAGUUCUCAAUGACCCUGACGCAGGCAGAGGGGCCGGAGUCACGGAAACUUUAGCUUGGACGGUUGUAGCCAGAUACGGAGGGGAACCGGAGGACUGGGAAUUCAGCAAGGGGAGAUGGUGGGCGUGGUGGCAGGAGGGGCGUGACGGCAGGGGUGCGCCUCCUCUCAGACGCUUCUGACCGAGGCAAUGUGAACAGAGACUUGGUCAUGGGUGGCAGGUGGGACAGAAGUAAGGUGACAGAGCUUGCUGGCUGUCUCAGGCCAGGAGACCCCCUGGAGACAUGGGCCCCCUCACUGGUUUGGAAGCCGACAGCACUUAUGACUUGAACGCAGUCAGAACCCAGAUGGGGAUGAGAACCCAGGGUUUUAAGUGAGAGUCACUCACCCCGUGUCUGGACUCACUGAGGUUCCGCUUCGUCACAUCUCCCAUAGAAGGAAUUCAGCGGAAGACAAAGCGCUAGGCAAGGAACAGGUUUACUAGGACAGGAUGCUUGUGAGACAUGCAAGCGGGCAGGCGAGGAGGCUCUGCCCCGAGGGUCCGGGGGGCUCCAGUUUUAUUAUCCAGGGGGAAGGGAGGGUCGGAGGAGCCGCUGCUCUUUCCUGGAGCCGUCGCGCCUCCUUGGUAUCCGGUAAGACUACUGACCCUAGAAGCUCAGACUGGGACUGUCAUGGUGGUUCUUCACAUCAGCAGGGAGCGGUCCUCAAACUUCUGCCCUGGGUCUGGACCUGAACGCAGGCCGCCCCCCAGCGCCCACCCAACGACCUGAGGCGUAUCUCGCGCCUCCACCUGUCCAGCAAGUCUGCCUCAUGCUGACGCUCCUCUUGCGCAGUUAUUAACUCACAGCGGUCUCCCCAAGUCCCCUCCAUGUCCCUCUCUAUCUAUGCUCCCUUGUGGGCACUUCCACACCCACCUGUGCAACUAUCCUCCUCCAUCCCUGUCCGUCUGGGGAGAUGGCCUUGGUUGCAGAGAGUAGCUGGUGUGAGAACGGGACCCAGAGGAGCCAGAUACUGAAGAUGCGGACUCAGCAAAACCUGAUCCAAGGGCUCUCCAGGACAAGCAGCAAAAUUCAAACCUGGGAAUUCUAGAGCUGUGUCUCCCCCCCGCCCCAUGCACAUCCCAUAAGGUCUGACCUUAUUGUCACUGUCCUCUCAGUCAAGCUUCUCUCUCUUCUGCAGUUCCUGCAGAAGAGACUGUGUGGCUGUGUUUAAACACACGGCUUUCAGGGUCCGACAGAUGGGUGGGUCCCUGGAGCUACUUGCCAUGUGGCUUUGGUAUCAGCCAUGCCACGCCAGCUUCUUCACCAGUGAAACAGACGUAAUAUGUUUUCAUGGCAUGAUUUGAUCUGUGUUUUGGCUCGAUGAAUGUCAGCCGUAGUCAUUUAUGCCUCAACCGGUGGCAGAGCCCAUUCCAUCUGCAAAUCCUAACCUUCUAAGG